GAUGAACGCUGGCGGCGUGCCUAAUACAUGCAAGUCGAGCGAACAGACGAGGAGCUUGCUCCUCUGACGUUAGCGGCGGACGGGUGAGUAACACGUGGAUAACCUACCUAUAAGACUGGGAUAACUUCGGGAAACCGGAGCUAAUACCGGAUAAUAUAUUGAACCGCAUGGUUCAAUAGUGAAAGACGGUUUUGCUGUCACUUAUAGAUGGAUCCGCGCCGCAUUAGCUAGUUGGUAAGGUAACGGCUUACCAAGGCAACGAUGCGUAGCCGACCUGAGAGGGUGAUCGGCCACACUGGAACUGAGACACGGUCCAGAUUCCUACGGGAGGCAGCAGGAGGGAAUCUGCAGCAAUGGGCGAAAGCCUGACGGAGCAACGCGGCGUGAGUGAUGAAGGGCUGCGGAUCGUAAAACGCUGUUAUUAGGGAAGAACAAAUGUGUAAGUAACUAUGCACGUCUGGACGGUACCUAAGCAGAAAGCCACGGCUAACUACGU
This 496-nucleotide ribosomal RNA is filed under the name uncultured bacterium. RNAcentral describes it as "partial 16S ribosomal RNA". It matches the Rfam family "Bacterial small subunit ribosomal RNA", at positions 28 to 506 of the family's 1533-position model. The record is from RNAcentral.